This 802-nucleotide long non-coding RNA is filed under the name Ananas comosus (pineapple). Its description in RNAcentral is "long non-coding RNA (ACOM_LNC002404)". Lineage: Eukaryota; Viridiplantae; Streptophyta; Magnoliopsida; Poales; Bromeliaceae. The record is from RNAcentral.
AAUUAAUCAUAUAAUGUUUGGAACUCUUAUUUGCGCAUUUCUUAUUUGCCCAUAAGUUAAGGGCAAAAGUAGUAUUUUAAUUUUUUUUAACAGUGGUAGAUAUUUAACUCAUGUUUAAUCCAAAUUAUCUUAAUAGGUGGUAACGACAAAGGUAUUUUGAAAUAACGGAGGAACAAAGAGGAAUAUAUUGGAAAGAAAAAAAAAUAGAAGUAAAUAAAAUAUUUUGAAGGAUUGAGGGUAUACGGGCAAUUAUCCCUUAGUAACAGAGUAGAAAUUGGAGUAUCUAAUACUUAUUUGAGGGCAUUUUAGGUAUUCAGAGAGAAUAAUUAUCCAAAAAUAAAAAGAAUAAGAUCAAAGACAAAGUUCUCAUCACAAAAAGUAAUGAUAUAAUAGUAAAUUAGUACUCUCUCCCCCACAUUUCCCCUACCCUUUUAUCCCCCUUUCCUUGUACCCAACCCCACACUGCUUUGGAACAUAUGCUAAUGGAGUAAAUGCUCCUCCUUUUUCCUUUUCUCCUUCUUCUUCUUGCACCUUAGAAAAAGCCAAAGCUUCUCCGACAACUCCCCCAAAAAAGGAAAGGGGAAAAAAGACUCUAAAAGACCCAAAAAGGAGCCAUUUUUGGGGUUAAAUUUUGGUGGAACUGAGGAGCAGUGGAGUUGAUCUUUUGGUGAAGCCAUGGCAUUGCCCAUUUCUCCUCCCCUCUUUGCUUGGUUCCUGCUCAUGCUCUUCCUCCCAAUCUCUUCUUCUCAUGUCUCUUUUCAGAUCCAGAGGACACCCAUUCCAGGUUUUUUUUUUCUCCCCC